UGAUUUUCUUCUCUUGUGUUCCAGGGACCAGAGGGCCCUCGGGGUGACACGGGCCCUCCAGGACCUCAGGGUCCCCCUGGACCCCAAGGACCAAGUGGUCUGUCCAUUCAAGGAAUGCCUGGUAUGACGGGUGCUAAAGGAGAAAAAGGAGAGACUGGCCUUCCUGGCCCACAGGGUGUCCCAGGAGGCAUUGGUUCACCAGGACGUGAUGGCUCUCCAGGCCAGAGGGUAAGGACCUGCCCAA
RNAcentral lists this long non-coding RNA (244 nucleotides) under Ursus americanus (American black bear). Its description in RNAcentral is "lncRNA (ENSUAMG00000005183.1)". The record is from RNAcentral. Lineage: Eukaryota; Metazoa; Chordata; Mammalia; Carnivora; Ursidae.